RNAcentral lists this long non-coding RNA (5081 nucleotides) under Arabidopsis lyrata. RNAcentral's name for it is "long non-coding RNA (ALYR_LNC001448)". Lineage: Eukaryota; Viridiplantae; Streptophyta; Magnoliopsida; Brassicales; Brassicaceae. The record is from RNAcentral.
GUACGUUCUAUUACUUAUCAUAUGAAGGUUGAAAUAAUGCUAUUUUAUUUUCUAGUAAUACAUAAAGGGAAGCAACUCAUAAUGAAAAUAAACCUUUAAUUGAAUAAUAACUGAAUUCGAAAAUGAAAUUUUCACGAUCUAUCUUUACUUUGCUCGUCAAACUCUUCGGAGAAAUGACAGGCGUAGGUCUAGUUUGUAGAAGUAAUCAAGAACACAAAACAAAAGAAUAACUCUCUUUUAUUACUUAGGAAACUCUCUCAAAACCUAAGCCUCUCUCAAUCACUUCUCAAACUCUCUAAAACCGCACAAGUCAUAUCACAACUCGAUAUGUCCUUAUAUGACAAACCCUAUGACCUAAUCAUAUCUCAAUUAGGAAAAUACAAAGAUCCUUCUAGAUAACUCCUAGAGGAUUUACAUUUAUCUUCUCAUAAAACCAAAGACUUGCGGUUUAAGUAAUCCUCCGGUUAAGCUUCUCUCAAGCUUAAACCAACAAUCCCCCUUAAGCUUGAGAUCCUUAUUCACCACAUCUUGCACACCUAUAAGCUCCCUCAUUUCCUUGAACUUAAUCUUCCCAAGGGCCUUUGUUAAGAUGUCUGCUCUCUGUUCAUUCCCCGGCACAUGCUCUACCUCUAUCAAGCCGUUUUCGACACAUUCUCGUAUGAAGUGAUAUCGUCGAUGGAUGUGCUUGCUGCGACCAUGAAACACAGGGUUCUUAGUGAGUGCAAUAGCUGAUUUAUUGUCGAUCCUUAUAACAACCUUCUCACUCAAAGUUCCCGUGAUCUCGCUUAGUAUAUCCUGCAACCAAAUAGCUUGUUUCGCAGCUUCGGUUCCUCCCAUGAACUCUGCUUCACAAGACGACAUUGCCAUAGUUUCUUGCUUCUGUGAACACCAAGAUAUAGGACUUUCUCCUAAAUAAAACACAUGACCAGCUGUACUCCUCCCAUCAUCUUGAUCUACAUCAUGACUACUAUCACUGUACCCUAUUAACUUUGGUAUACUAGUACACCGGUUGUAAGUUAGGCCAAGAUUGGUAGUUCCUUUUAGGUAUCUAAGGCACUGUUUCAUUGCAGUCUCAUGUGACUCCUAGGACUCUGCAUAUAUAGGCUCAAAACUCCCACACAGUAUGACAAGUCUGGUCUAGUGUGUAACAAGUAUCUGAAGCAACCCACAUUGCGUCUAAAAACCGUAGCAUCAACUUCUUUCUCCUUUUCAGCUUUUGACAAUUUCAAUCCUGCUUCCAUGGGAAUAUGAACUGAAUUACAAUCUCUCAUUCCGGCUUCCUCCAAGAUCUUAAGAGCAUAACGACUCUGAUUCAAUACUAUCCCCUCCUGAUGCUGCAUUAGCUCAAUUCCAAGAUAAUAAGUCAACUUCCCGAGGUCACUCAUUUCAAAAUUUGAAGACAUUUCUCCUUUAAAUUUGUUGAUGACUUCAAGACUUGUCCCUGUAACAAAUAGGUCAUCCACAUACACUGCUAUAAUAAGGAGAUGUCCCUUAACUUCUUUGCGAUAGACUGAUGGUUCCUUUGAACAUUUUGUAAAAUGUAGAUCAACAAGGAUGUGAUUUAGCUUGUUGUUCCAAGCUCUUGGCGCUUGCCUUAGACCGUACAAUGCUUUGUUUAGUCUAUAAACCUUAUCUUCACUUCCUUUAACUUCAAAUCCUUCUGGUUGAUAAACAUAAACAGUUUCCUUGAGUUCUCCGUGUAGAAAAGCCGUUUUAACAUCAAGAUGGUGGAUCUCCCACCCAUGUGCUGCUGCGAGAUCAAUAAGGAGUCUGAUUGUUUCAAUUCGUGCCACUGGAGCGAAUACCUCUUCAAAGUCUACUCCAUAUUUUUGUACAUACCCUUUUGCAACAAGACGGGCCUUGUACUUAUUAAUACUCCCAUCAGAAUUUCUCUUGAGUUUGAAUACCCAUUUUAAGCCAAUUGGCUUUGUUCCUACUGGCAAGUCAACAAGGUCCCAAGUUUUGAACCUUUCAAUAGAACUUAGCUCAUCUUCACAAGCGCUUGUCCACUCUUUAAACUGUUUUGCUUCAUGAAAGUUUCUUGGUUCAUUAUUCAGACACAUAAGCAAUGUUUCUCCUUCUCCUUCUGCAAGUAGGACGUAGUCUUGAAGAUAUUUAGGUUUAUUAAUCUGUCUCUGAGUUCUUCUUAAAACGGGUGAAUGAGGAUCACUUGUUCCUGCAGCCUCAUGUUCUGUUUCCUGACCAUGCCCUGUUUCGGUACUCUGCUCUUCUUCAGACUCAUCAUGUUCAAUCUCUUCCAGAUUUUGUCCUCUUUCUCCAAUGUGUUCAGUCUCUCCAUGUGUUUCAACAGUCUGUUCUGUUUCUCGAAGUCCAUGAUUUCCGAAAGCUUCAAACGUAAUCUUAAAGCUUCCAUCACUGUUUUGCUCUGUAUCAUUAUGUUUCCAGCUCCAUCCCUUUGUUUCAUCAAACACGACAUCACGACUAACUACUAUUUUUCUUGCUUGAGGAUCGAGUAAUCGAUAAGCUUUGGAUCCAGGUUCUAUUCCUAGGUGAAUAAGAACACGUGACCUGUCAUCUAAUUUCUUCAAGUGAUGUUUAUCCACCUUUGCAUACGCAGCACAUCCAAAGACUCGAAUAUGACUGAUUGCUGGCUUCUUGUCUCGAAAACAUUCAUAAGGAGUUUUAUCCUUUAAAGCUCGUGUUGUAACUAUGUUUAAGAGAUAGGUAGAAUGCCUAAUAGCUUCUCCCCAUAGGUAAUUUGGCAUGUGCAUAUGUUUUAAAAUACUUCUCGUCAUCUCCAUCAAAGUUCUAUUCCGUCUUUCAACAACUCCAUUUUGCUGUGGAGUAUACGGAGCAGUGAGAUGCCUUUUGAUGCCAGAUUCUUCACAAAAAAUGUUGAACUCAUGAGAAACAAACUCUCCUCCUCUGUCUGUUCUUAGAGUUUGAAUUCUUGCUUCAGAUUCUUUCUCAACAAGGUUCUUGAAGUUUUUAAACUUUUGGAAAGCAUCUCCCUUUUCUUUUAACAAAACUGUCCACACGUAUCGAGAAUAAUCAUCUAUUAGCACGAAGAUGUACCUAUUUCCAGCACUGGUACUUGGCGUUAUUGGUCCACAGAGAUCACCAUGUAUGAGUUCCAGCUUUUUAGUUGCUCUGUAAGUAGAUUCUUGUGGGAAUGCUGCUCUGGUUUGCUUUCCAAGCAAGCAUGAACCACAAAUUUCUUUUUCAAGAACAAACGUUGAAGCUCCUUGAACCAAUUCCUUGUCUAUCAUGGCUUUUAUGGUCUCUAGACUUACAUGUCCCAUUCUUGCAUGCCAUAGGCUUGAUUCACUCACAGUUGUCAGAUAUAAGCAAGUGUUGUCCUUUAAACCCAUUUUAACCUUGUAUAAACGAUUCUUGGACCUCUCUGCUUUUACAAGUAACUUUCCAUCACGAUCAUGCAUUGUCAAGUAGCCAUCUUUCAGUCUUAUGUCACAUCCUGAUUCUGUAGCCUGUCCUAGACUUAUUAUAUUGCUCUUCAGAUCAGGUAUGAAGUAAACAUCGGUCAUUACUCUUGAUCUUCCGUUUAGGUCUAUGAAUGCAAUCGUCCCCUUUCCUUUAAUAUCAAUGCGUGAGUCGUCUCCAAAUCUUACCUUCCUAGUAACAGAGUAAUCAAGCUUAUCAAAGUAUCUUCUAUCACCUGUCAUCUGGUUGCUAGCUCCAUUAUCAAGGUACCACACGUUUUCUCCAUCAAUGUUUGUCUCAAACUUGCUAGGAACGCAACUUUUCUCAUUUAAGUAAACAAUUUCAUGCAUCAUAAGUUCAUCUGCGACUUGAGUAUCCUUUUGUUCAUUCUCUUGUGCUUGCAAUUUUAGUAAGCGGUCAGGACAGUUUGAGGCAUAGUGACCGAUCUUAUCACAUCUAUAACAUGUUAUUUGUGAUGAAUCUCGACCACCAUAACGUCCUCGUCCUCUUCCUCUGUAAAAGUUUCUGCCUCCACGUCCUCUGCCCCUGUAUUCAUUGUUGUAAUCUCGGUUUGAGUAGCUGUUUUGAGAAUCCAUAUUGGUGUACAACAGCUUGCUUUGAUCCUCAUGUGAAUCUUCUUCUUCGAUGACACGUUCUUCAUAGACCUUAAGACGUCCAACUAUAUCGUCUAAAGUUGUAGUAUUAAGAUCUAAUACUUGUUCUAAAGCAGCCACAAUAUGGAUAUAUUUUUUCCGAGGAAUACUUUUCAAAAAUUUCUUAACCAAUCUUGAUUCUUCAAUGUUUACACCUAGGGCAGAUGAUUUUGAUGAUAUCUCAGAUAACUUUCCUGCAAAGUCAUCAAUCUUCUCAGUAUCCUUCAUCUUGAGGCGGUCAAAUUCAACCAUAAGAGUUUGUAACCUAGCAUCCUUGACCCUGUCUGCUCCCACAUGCCUUGCUUUAAUCGAAUCCCAUACCUUCUUAGUUGUGUUAAGUUCUCCUAUUUGUAGUACUAGGGCUUCAGGAAUCGACUGGAAAAGCAAAGCAGUGGCUACAUCGUUCUUCUCCACAUCAAUCGGGUUUGAUGGUGUUUCUAUAACCUCCCAAGCUUUAUGAACUUUGAGUGCUGACCUCAUUCUUAUGGCCCAUACCGUAUAAUUUGUUGCGUUUAGCAUAGGACAUUUAAUUGAGGAAGAUCCUCCUCCUUCUUUGCCUUUUUUGGUCACGGGAAUAAUAUCCCCCAUAGCUUCUUCUCGAUCUCAAAAAAAAACUCUCACAAAGCUCUGAUACCAAAUCUAGUUUGUAGAAGUAAUCAAGAACACAAAACAAAAGAAUAACUCUCUUUUAUUACUUAGGAAACUCUCUCAAAACCUAAGCCUCUCUCAAUCACUUCUCAAACUCUCUAAAACCGCACAAGUCAUAUCACAACUCGAUAUGUCCUUAUAUAACAAACCCUAUGACCUAAUCAUAUCUCAAUUAGGAAAAUACAAAGAUCCUUCUAGAUAACUCCUAGAGGAUUUACAUUUAUCUUCUCAUAAAACCAAAGACUUGCGGUUUAAGUAAUCCUCCGGUUAAGCUUCUCUCAAGCUUAAACCAACAGUAGGCAGUUGCGAGAGCAAAUGUAAAUAUCUGAGGUUACAUUUAUCUUCAAGCUGAUAGGGUACAUGCAACGCGACUCACAC